AAUAUUUUUACAAGACAUAAAUUUUGAGCAAAUUGUACACAUCAGCAUCCCCUUCAUAUGACUUCUGUCUUCUCUGUUUUUUUUGGAUCAGAUCAGAGUUUUCAUCGUAGGUGAGAAAUCUGGCCCAGAGUUGACCACCCAGAGACCACAAGGCCCAAUGAGAAGGGACCACCCAAAUACUGAUUUUCCACUACAUUCAAAUCAGAGCAGGUUGUUGACAUAGCCUGGAGGAGCUGAUGAGUUGUGGAAAAAACAGAACCUUUUCAUGAAAAUGUCUCAGGAAAGAGAGAGAGAACAGUGAUACUUAAAAUAUGAUGGGUUCCAGAUGUGCUUGGUACAUAGUCUUCCUGAUGUUGUCAGCUACCGAGAUCAAUAGCCAAGGUAGGUAAAUUCUGGAAAUAAACUGUGUAUAGUUCUGUGAAGACAAACUACACUGGGAUGUUUUUGUGAUGUCAGUCAGUGUUGGUGCAGGAGCUCAUGGGUUUUUACUGUAAGUUUAGGAGAUUUACAGCCCUCAUUGCUAUUAUCCUUAAUAUGGUCCUUCAGGACUUUCUGAACAAAUUUAUCCUUCCCUUAUCCUUAACCUCUGUGACUGCAAACUGGUGAGUUCUCCACAAAAAUCAAGAUGGCUUACUCAACAGCACAGAAUAAUCUUUUUUUUUUUUUAGGAGUAAUAUAUUAUGUUGUUGUAGCCGUGAUAGUUUAAAGAUAUAGGUAAGACAAAGUUUGAUGAUAGUCUAAUAGAAUUUUCUACCUCUGCUGCUUGUUAACUGGUCUCAUAGAAGACAGAGGUACUAACAGAUUAGUCUGCUAUCUUUCACAGGCUUUCUUAUCUUUCAUCAGUCUCAAAUGCUACCUUAUCUAUAGAUUUUUGUUUUGCCUUUUGAGCAAUGAGUAACAGACAUUGAACCAGUGCAAUCUACAUACCACAGCUGCUCUUCAAUGCUAAUCCUCACAUGGAAAAGAACCAAGAAAUGCUCUUGGUGUUGUUUUAAUAAAAGCUAGUGUUGGCCUUCCCAUUCUAAAUGAAUGAGGCUGCAGACCUCGCAGGCCUCAAUAAUCUACUUUGCAAGUCUAGUUCUGAAAGCUGUUUGAUACCCAGCUGUUUAAAAUCAUGAAAUGCAGUUAAUAUUAAGAGUUAGUCAUGGGUGAAAAACAAGGACUAAGGACUGCAAGCACUUGAUUCUAAAUCCAGGUGAAAGACUUGAUCCAAAUCUGGUAAAGAAACACCAGAUUUGGAUCAAAAUAAAUACGACUAUUUUAUUAAUUUUUGCCAGAUCAUAAGUUUUUUUUGUAUUGUGUUAAAUGCAUUGCAAAAACAUGCAAUGUAACACUAAUGCUAUUGUGAUAUGCCUUGAAACGUAAGGUUGUCAAACAAAUUCUUCCUAGUUUGAGAAAAUCUCCAUGUAAGAAAAGAAAUAAAUCUAAUUUCUAUCUUGAAACUGACAGGAGCAUUUUAUUCCUGCGGGGUUGGUCACUUGAGACAAAUAUUGGUCUGACAGGUUGACUUUGAUUGCUUGUUGCACCACAUCAUAUCUAACCUCCUGAUCAAACCUUAUUUGCAUGGAAGAAAAAAAAAAAAAGGCUGCCAGGACUUCAGAACAACAGUGUUUAGGCAGAGACCGCAAAAUUUGGACUUUGCAAUGUUGUUGUUUAAUUGUUUUCUCUUUGUUCCAAGUAGUUGAAAGUUCAAUGAGUUUGAAACUCUGCUAAGGGAAAGGCAAAUGGCAUAACCAAAGAUAUGAUGACUCUGAGGAAAAAAAAUAUUGUGUGAUACUUCCACUCAGGUAAAAAAUAGGAGACAGCUGUUUAAAUAAAUACCAAAAAUAAUGCAUUUCUGUCUGAAAAAUAAGGUAAGAGCUGAAGCAAAUAAGUGAUGGUACCUUCUUCUAUGCCUGGGUGGGAAUGAAAUCUUAGUGACCUAUGCCUCUAGCAUGUUUAUCUGUCAUUAUGCUUGUGGUUUCUCAGCUACAUAGACUUAUUGCUAACAAGAAUUAUACUGAAAGAUAACUUUGGCCAGAACAGUUGCAGGGAACAUUGCAUGCCUGCCAAACAAUCCUCCAGUAUGUUCUUAGUUUUCAUGUGAUGAUAAUGGUAAUCUGAUCUGAACAGAAGCAAUGAAUUUAACAGUUACACACAGAAAAUGGAGGUAAAGAGACAGUGGGCAGAACUGGGUAUCUGAUAUUCUUUAUCAGCUUCAGUUAUCAGAGGAAUUGAUCAAAGGAAGGCAUAUAACAGACAAAUAUUUUCAGUGGUGCUUGACAAACUUUUGAAUAAGGCAUUUCUUUUGCAGGUUGUACAUGGAAAAAUAAACAUUUCCAUCAUGGCUGGAAUACUUAAAAUGCAAAAAAAAGACCUGUAUUUGAUUUAAGAAAAGAAUCCCGCAUCUAUUUUUCCAGAUCUACUAGGCAGUAAUAGGUAGUACAGCAGUAUGUUUAUUAUUAUUCACAGAUCACAGCUACUUAAUGUGAUUCUUUCAUAUGCAAAAUAUGAUAUAAUUAUUGAAUCCAGUUCUCAGAAGAUGUUUAUGAUAUGUUGCCUGUUUACAGGAAAUUCCAAACUAGAUCAAGUUAUUGGGAUCUUCAAUCAUCUUUCAAAUACAAUUCAGAGAUAUUGUGACCAUAUAUAAAUGUAUUGCUUUUGUAAGAGAAUUUAUACAGUAUUGAGUUCUGAGGGGAGACAGAUGUCUUCUGUCAGCCACAGAUAAAAAUUCUGUGUCUGUAAAUUUGUUUAAAAUUGCUUUUAAUCACAUUGGGGAAAUUCAGAUAUAAUGAUAGCAGGCAUUUAUUGUAUCCCAAUUCUGACAGUAGAAAAGGGAGGCCACGGACAAUUACGGAAGUCUUUUUAGCCUGUUCUAUUGUCCAUUUUUGAGGUGAAAAUCUUAUGUUUAAAGCAUUAAUGGCAGAAAUGAAAGAAAAAUACCACACCAUAAUUCUUGCCCAAAUGAUUCCACUGUGCUCACUUUCUACUGUCAUUUCUCUGCUUGAAGCCUCUGCUGGUGUUGGUUGUUUUCACUGUAAAGUAUUCACAGGAAAACUAUUUAAUAUUAAGACAGGAUUCCUGUUCUGGUGCAUCCUAAAUAUAGCAGAGUCAAAUAACCUACCUUGCUCAUUUCUUUGAUUUUUUUUUUCUUCACUUAACUGAUUCUCUAGCAGCUUGCACAGCUGUCAUCCACUUCAUGUAUUUUGGCAGUGUUAUUUUUCGUUCCUGUGGAGCAUGUUUUGAUUUCUCUCCUUGUGAAUUUCUUAUUUCAGGACAAUUUCUUCUCCCCAGAAGAACAACUUUCUGGAGCAGGACUCUCAUGCUGAACUCUCCUUGGCACUUCGCGGUGAGACAGUAAAGAGAGGGGAGAGAGGAAAACACGCUGUGGCAAUGCCAUGAAAGCAGUGAAAGGGAGAUAAAUUCAAAUAAUUCAGAAACUAUACUCCCUCAAAUUUCACUAGAUUCUUUCCCUUUGUUUGAUAGAGUUAAGUUUUCUUCCAAAAAAAAUGAAAACCCCUCCUCUAGUGCAGUAUCAGGCUGAUUCACUACUGCUGGCCUAAGUUGUUUGAGACCCGAGAACGGCCUCGCUGAGGAGAGUGCUAUGAACACACUACACCAUCAGUGGUAGCCAUUGACUUCUUUUUCUUGCGAAGGGGCUGUGUUGUUUUCCCCCCGCGGCGGCGUGUGACUUGACCCAGCUACUGAGAAACCCUUUGGAGAGGCAGCCUUCCGCCCGGCCCAUUAAUUUUUGUCUCGUAACAUGGCAUGGUUGACCUUUCCGGUGUUGUUUGUAGCGGAGGUAGCUCCUCUACGGACCAUUUGGCAUUUCAAGCCUGCAGGAAUUUGGAGAGGUGCCUAACAACCACAGCAGGCGCACGAGCUGUUUUGCAAGCCUCCAGCCACCUCUGCAGCUAGCGUAAGCCUAAUAGGGCCGCUCUCCUCUUCUUUCUGUGUAGUUGACAGGGAUGCACAGGGAUGUCUGUUUUAGAGGGGACUUAGCAAUGCUUUGCCUAAUUUUGCUGCCUCUGUAAUUUUUCUGUAAAGAAAGAGCCCUUUCCUUGUGCAUUUAUACAAUACUGCAUUUCUUUACCUUAGUCUCCUCAGAGCAAAGACGUGCCUUUCACAAUCAUAGCCCUAGACCGCUUCUUCCAGAAACUGCUGCAUUUUGUGCUCUAUAUGAAGCUGUGACAAAACCAAUUUAUAGGUCAAAGAUGACAGGAAAUAGAAUAAAAUACAGAGCUCUGAGACUUGGCAGGAGGCAAGAAAGGUUAAAUGCUGGUGCCCUAUAGCAGCUGUAGUGUAAGUUGACAACUGUUUCUGAAUAAACAACUGCUGGUUCAGUCCCGAGACACGGUCGCGGUGUCUCAUGUGGAGACUUCCACCGCGGUGCUCUGGGUGCUCCCGUUCCCGGCCCACAGUGCUAGGGCUGCUGGUGUGACACUUGCUCCUUUGUACACCUUUCUAUUUUCUUUCAAAUGGCUUCUAAAUAUAGAGAAAUGAUGUCUGCUGGGAAGAAAGAAAGAAAGAGCAAGGUAGUAAUAUAUUUUGCAGUUCUCUGAUUGGGAGAACAUGCCUCUGGUCAUAUAUUUGUGCAUCAGAGAGACAGAAAAAAAUCUCUGCCCUGCUGACUGUUUAAAAAGCAAAAAUGAACGAGUGUGCAUUAUGUGUAUAUAACCAGGGUGACUUGGGACUCAGCCCACAAACGAACCUGAGACAAACUACAAGCCAAUGAUGGCAAAACUUUACGAGUUCAGCAGUUUGUGUCAGUCCAGAUAUGUGCCUAAAGGUAUGACAAUGAGCAGAUCUUUUCUGAACCUGCGUGUUUAGGCUACAAAUCUUUCAGGAUGGGCUGUUUUCUUUCACUGUGUGUGAGAUACUUGCUGGUAAGUGCCUCAAUAAAUAGUAGUGCAGCAGGAGACGACAUGCAUCAAAACCUGAGCUAUACCGAGCCUUCUGAAUCUGUGGCACCAUGGUAAUUCUUCACACAACUAGAGAGGGGGAAAAGUGGAAAUUUGAAUUUGAAAUAAUUUAAGAAAAAAGAAUAUGUGCAUAGGAACUAUAAAGCUCAUUUGCUGUGUACUAUUCUAAGCUUAAAAAGAAAGUGCUUAUAUAUAUAUAUAUAUAUAUAUAUAAAACGUAUUAUAAUAAUGUAACAGGCUGUUCUCUAGCAGUUUCUUGGCAUAUCAUUGGUGCUACAAGAAGGCUCUUUUUAUGUUUGGCUGGCUUUUUAAACAGGCUAGUCACAAGACUUUAAAUCAGACUCAGAGCGCAGUUGCAAGAAUAUACCUUUUUGCUUCUCAGCAUACUCAAUAGAAAUAAAAAUUUUUCACUUCAUGUCAGAGUGACUCUACUUCUGAGGAUAUAAAGCCAUGUAUAGGUUCUACAGUGUCUUAGAGUUAAAACACUGUCUUAAAGUAUAAAUUAAAGCAACACAGAAAAGUAUGUUUUUAUCUGUAGCAACCUCUACAGCUUACUCUGAAAGAGAGAAACACCAGAUCAUACCAAAGGACAUAUAAUAGCCCUCUCCCUCGUUCCGAUGCCUUAUUCUCUUCUAUGCUGAUCUGUUAAAAUAUAUGUGCUCCUUGCAAUACUGUAUAUUUCUACAAGCUCUUAAGCUAUACAUCUUAUAUUGUCAGAUGUUAGGUUGUUCUGUCACUGCCCAUCCAGGGUCAUAAUGUAUGGGGAGCCAAGGUUAUGUAUAGCAGUCUUCUUCUUAGCUUGCAUCACAUGAGGAAUAACUUGUGCUUGAAGGACUAUUUUGACACAGUCCUGGUCCACUAUGCUGUCAGUUUAGGGUACCUGGGCUUAGAGAUAAAACAUACCACUUUGUCUAGAUCUAACCUAAAAAAAAAUUCACAUUUCAAUCAAGGUGUUAGACAUGAAAGUGUAUGAAGCAUUGAAGCAUAUCUGAAACUAUGUUCAUUAGAAAUUAUCUGAGCGAGGUGCUUGCUAGGUUACCAAAAAAAAAAAAAAAACCACCCUUGAACACAAUACAUAAUCUUGAUGCAGCCGGCAACUGCCGAUGCUAAAGUGUAUUGCUAGUAUGCCUUAGACAAUUAAACUUGUCACACCUUUGGCUAUGAAGAUUUAAAAAUGUUCUUCACUUUGCAUAUAUAUGUAUAUAAAAACUGUGCUCUUUUUAUGAGGGUCCCCUGCUCACACACACAUUUUUCACUAAUUUUUAGCCUGAUAAAAUUAGCCUUAAUUCUGAGUCAGAGCUGCUGUUUUUUUCCUGUUUUAUCUUGCUUGUACCAGGGUCUGUUGUUUGGAUUAAUUUCCCACCUAUUACUUUGCAAUUCAAUUGCUUCUGAAUUAUACCAUCAGCAACACCUGUGCAUAAAUUUAGAGUGUUUUAACUCCAAAAGAGACCAUCAGAGUAGCUGUAACGUGUGGGUAACUAGACUUUUUUGAUUCAAAUUCAGGCAGCUUAUAGGGAUACGGCACGUCAGCGAAAGCUUUCCUCCCCAAGGAAAGAGGCCUUCCAGCGGCAGAAAGGGGCUGCGCAGCCAGGAGCCCGGCAUCACCAGUGCCCCCAGAAUUGCCCUUCCACAGGGUUUAGACACACUUGCUGCAGACUUCAUGAGCUUCAUCGCUGAAGAACACUGCUCCUUGUGGACAAAUUUCAAAUCCUUACGCUACCUGACUUGUGUCUUUUUUUCAGUUUUUCACACUUAAGUGUUAUGUUAAAGUCACAUAAUAAACCAUCUUUUUUUUUCUUGUUUAAAUGAGAUGGUUUUCUUUAGUUCUAGUUCUCUUGCAUUUUUGAGUGAUUGUUUCACUGACUCUUUUCUCUCAAGUUCAUUGGCCUUUCUGGGGAAUAGGAGAGGAGGGGGGAGGUCCACAUGCUUCUUCCCUUGACCUCUGAAGCUCUCUGCUACAGAAUUUAGUAUAAAGGCACCAGCAGCUGUCAUCUUCCUCCAGAAAAGCAUUAUAUGGAAGUGAUGAAAUAUUUUGUUAUUUAUUUAUUCUUUUUAAAAAGGCAGCUUCCUAGAAGACACUCAUUCUACUUCCAAGGGGGUAACAUACGUAAUUCUUCAUGAUCUUUUUCUGAUGGAGUCAGACGGUCUCUUUGAUAGAUUAUUUGAAGAAAAUCUGUGUAUAGCCAGUUUACAAUCCCCUGCAGCUUUGUGAUGAAAAAGCUGAAAGGGCUCUGUCUCAGGAGACCAUGGCCAGUUAUUCAUUUUCCGUUGUGCCUUUCACUAUUUUGAAGCCUUAAUCAAUAAUAUAAAACUGUAUAUUUGCUUUCUGGUUUUCUGUGGCUCUGUUACACUGUGAUUAAGCUAAUGAUUUUAAAUAAAUUGAAGACUACUU
Long non-coding RNA from Dromaius novaehollandiae (emu), 7293 nucleotides. RefSeq lists it as uncharacterized. Lineage: Eukaryota; Metazoa; Chordata; Aves; Casuariiformes; Dromaiidae. The record is from RefSeq and is a predicted model, not a curated record. The transcript has 4 exons.